This 447-nucleotide ribosomal RNA is filed under the name uncultured bacterium. Its description in RNAcentral is "SSU rRNA". It matches the Rfam family "Bacterial small subunit ribosomal RNA", at positions 26 to 518 of the family's 1533-position model. The record is from RNAcentral.
AGAGCGAACGCUGGCGGCAGGCUUAACACAUGCAAGUCGAGCGGGCGUAGCAAUACGUCAGCGGCAGACGGGUGAGUAACGCGUGGGAACGUACCUUUUGGCUCGGAACAACACAGGGAAACUUGUGCUAAUACCGGAUAAGCCCUUACGGGGAAAGAUUUAUCGCCAAAAGAUCGGCCCGCGUCUGAUUAGCUAGUUGGUGAGGUAACGGCUCACCAAGGCGACGAUCAGUAGCUGGUCUGAGAGGAUGAUCAGCCACAUUGGGACUGAGACACGGCCCAAACUCCUACGGGAGGCAGCAGUGGGAAUAUUGGACAAUGGGCGCAAGCCUGAUCCAGCCAUGCCGCGUGAGUGAUGAAGGCCCUAGGGUUGUAAAGCUCUUUUGUGCGGGAAGAUAAUGACGGUACCGCAAGAAUAAGCCCCGGCUAACUUCGCGCCAGCAGCCGC